CUCUUCUCCGCAGCCCUUCACCAGGCGUCCAACGGGGUGCAAUGCCGCACCUCUUCGUGGGCUCCGUGUGUGUACGCUCGACCGCACAUGGAGUCUGUGGUAUACCCUUUUCCUCUCCCCCAUCCCACCCUCCGUUUGGAUCCCGCAUUGGAAACGAGUGAUUAGUCAGCUGUGCCUUGCCCAUGCGUGCGUGUGCGUGCGUGCUUGUGCGUUUCGCUUCUGAUCGUGGCUGUUUGGCCCGAUGACGAGCGAUCGACCUCGCGCCCUCACCUCUCUUUCAAAAUAGGCGGCUGCAGCGUUACAUCGCUCGGAGAGAUUUUCGCAGCUGUGCAUGCGUUCAUUUUGGUGGCGCGUGGUAGCGAGGGGAGGGGGAGUGAAACGGAGGGAGGGUGGUGGGGUUUCUCCACUCGUUCUCUAGCUGUCGCACGCUCGCUCUGCCGCAGGAUUCUAGGAGCCAACCCCCCCCCCGACCACACGUCUUGUGAGCACGUUGCCCCGUAUGGUACCAGAGGCCCACUGCUAGAUGUUGCGAUACGGUGCACAAGGUGUAAAGCAACGGCGACUGCGGACGUGCCUGCAGGAGCGGUUACUUCCGCCUGUGUGUAUGCCUGUUUCCGUCACCCUGGGAAGGGGGUCGAACUCGGUUCAAGCGAAUACAUACGUUUGCGUGGAGGCGGGCAAGGGCGGAAAGGUUGGCGCGCGCACCCGAUCAGGCCGCCAGCACGAGUAGCAACACAAUAAUACUUAGUGCGCCUUUUCUGUAUCGGUUCGUUCACACAGCAUGGCUCCGUUGCUCUUUCCGCUUUUCCUUUGUCGACGCAAGUUGCCUUGCUCGCUCGCCCUCUCCUUGCGCGACUGUGUCUGUGUGUGUGUGUGUGUGUGUGUGUGUGUGUGUGUGUGUGUGUGUGUGUGUGUCGAGGAAGAGGAGGGGCGGGGCGGGCAGGGUGGGGAUGGACUGGUGGCAGCUGUUGAUGUGUUAGAAGUGGCUAGAUGCGAGAAAAUGAGGCGAGUGGGUCGUGCUCUUGAUGGUGGAACGAUCCGCGCCUGCGCGGGUGUUGCCUGCAAGCAUCUGCGUGUCGCUGUGGUGCAUGCGAGGUGUCCGCGUCUGUGUGGGCGAGCGAGGGCCGACGGUUUGGCUUGCUUGAGAGUGUUCUGCCUCCCUUGCUCGCGUCCGCUCCCCCUCCCCCUCCCCUCUCCCCCCCCUCUCCCCCUGCCUUCCUCCGCCGUCGAUGCGAACGUUGUGAUGUCAACCUCAAUGGACCAUUGUUGCAAUACACGAAUGCCUUUAGAUGCCCUGCAUCGAGGACGAGACCCCAAUCGAGAAAUCCGCAGAGAAGGACUGAACGCUCGACGAUUCCACAGGUGGGGCUGUGCAGGGAGAGAGAGAGGAGGGGAGUAGACUGUGGCACUGGAUAACAGGGCAGCCGCUCCGCUGCCAUAACGCACCCCACCCGUCCACCCUCUCCCCUCUCUUGCAUGUGGCAUGUGAGUGCCCUGUAUAGAAUAUAUAUAUAUGUGUGUCGAGGUGUGGGCUGUCCUCCUCCUCCUCCAUGACGACACACCACUAUUUGCACGUCAGUUUGACUUAUGGUUUACUCGGCAUGAUACAAACAUAGCUGACCCACCCACACCCACAUGCACACACACACACACACACAGACAGACACACACGCUUCUUGUGAUGUGCAAGCGGGGCUGCGCCUGUGGAGGGGGUGCGUGUGUGUGCAUGUGUGUGCGAGGGUAUGGGCUUUACUGACGAGGAGAGAAGGUUUAACUGCAGGCUUCGGCGGUGCAGCAGCUCGGGGUGCGGUGCGGUGCAGUGCUGGUGGUGGUGGGGACACAUGCGCGCUGGGAUGGGGGUGAGCAGAGGAUAGCGAAGUAUGAGCGGCAGGGAAGCUUUUCUUUGAGUCGUUGUGCGUCUGCACGCCUUGCGCAUACCUGUGCGGCGUUCCUAUGAUGCUUCAAUGAAUUAGGAAAGGCGAGAUGCACACAUGCCGAUGUGCGUGUAUACGUGUGUUGUGAAAGCCCAGACAUGAUUGCUGCGAGAGAGAGACAGGUGGAGAUUGGGCGGGGUGCGGAGGCUAAGCGUCUCUUGUGACGCGCCACGACUUCAUCGUGUCUCCUUGCGGCGCUCCUCCUCAUCCUCCUCCACCCUUCUAUACGCACUCACUCAAAGUUGGACGGAUGCCUUCUCUAGAGUCAUUGCAGCCGAACUGUUGGCCUCUUCCCUCCCGCCCUUCCCUCACUCUCCCCCUUGCAUCUCCUUCUGCGUGCGCCACACGUGACUACACACCAUCUCCGCCGCGCUCCAUCCGCGCCGCUUGCCUCUUUCCUCUGGAGAGAGGUUGACAGGGGAUGGGUGCCGUGCGGAAGGAUAAAGGGGAGAAGAGAACUGGGGGCGAGCGGGGUGGCGAAUCGGAGGGCAACAUCGUCACUGUUCCUGCGAUGUAGUUAGGAGGGCUAGAUGUUGCUCUAUGGCUGUGCUCGCGUGUGCCUGUGUCUACGUCUCUCCGUCUCUUGAUGGUGCUGGCAGCGAAGCUCGAACGCAGCCAACAAAGGUCUGUACAGGACGGCCUCUCCCAGGGGGAUCGUGCUGUGGCUUGAGGCUGCGACACGUGCUCUGCGGCGCGUCGCGGCCAUCCGCUUCCGCAUUCCUUUCCACUUGCCUAAC
RNAcentral lists this unclassified non-coding RNA (2671 nucleotides) under Leishmania donovani. RNAcentral's name for it is "gene:unknown". Lineage: Eukaryota; Euglenozoa; Kinetoplastea; Trypanosomatida; Trypanosomatidae. The record is from RNAcentral.